This 1494-nucleotide long non-coding RNA is filed under the name Mustela putorius furo (domestic ferret). Its description in RNAcentral is "lncRNA (ENSMPUG00000031123.1)". Lineage: Eukaryota; Metazoa; Chordata; Mammalia; Carnivora; Mustelidae. The record is from RNAcentral.
GUUUUUCUAAACUGACUUGAAACUGGGCUAUUUUGCUUGCUAGCUCAUGGCCCGGUUGUACCAAGGCUGUUGCUGCUGCUGCUGCUGCUGCUGCUGCUUCUUGUUAAGAGUUUCCAAUGAGAGAGAUUUGUUCUUCUUCCUGUUUUCCCUUUGAGUUCCCCCAGAACCAGUCCCUGCUGCGGUAGCCAAAAUCACAUUCUUCACUUUGUCACCAUCAAAAUCAAAUUACCUAGCAAGCAGGUGCUGACAAGGCCUGUCACUACACAAAGUUAAUUAAAAAAAGAAAAAAAGAAAGAAAGAAAAGGUGAGUGACUCAGUUUCCUGUGGUCUGUCGCUUGGGGCCAUGCCUCUUUCUCAUUGCCCAAAACCCCCACCCCCACCAAGUGCCCUGGAGAUGCCCGAGGAUGAGGCAAGUCUGCUCUGCAGGUAACGGAGAUCGGUUGGCAAGACUUGCAGCUUGGAGCUUGGGAUUAGACAACAUUUGGGCUCAUGUCGGAGUCCCUGUCGAGACCAUUAAUCUUCGACUUGCGGCUGUGUUUCCUUGUUCUGUUUUGUUCAGCAUGGCAUUCAAGAUUCCUUCACAGAAAUCUGUGUUGGGGCAGGAAAAUGCUCCGUGAAUUAUGUCCUCAUGAAGUCACCAUCUGGCCGAUAUUCCUCUCGCGGCUCAGAAUACCAAAGCCAUCCUUCAGCACAGAUGCUGGGCCAGAUCAGCGCGAGCAAGUGACCGCCGUCAUAAACCCACGUGCCAUCAAGGGUGGCCUCAGAACCGUGAACUUCCCUGCCUGCUGACUUUCUCCAGCCUGGAGCAGUGAUGUGGGAUCCUCUGAGCAUCAUGCCCUUCAGAUUCUUCAGGGUGGAGGCUCCAAAGCACUAAGAACUCUCUCUCCUUAGAUUCCUGUCUCUGCAUAACCUUACUGUGCUAUUAUGCCAGCAAGAUCCAGUCUAAUAACUCAGUUAUAUUAAAGACCUCUUUGUUGGACUGAAUGGUUCUGUGCCCACCCUAUCCCUCAAAUUCCUAUGUUGAUGCCCUAACCCCCAGUGUGAUGGUAUUUGGAGAUGGGGGCCUUCUGGCAGUAAUUAGGGCUAGAUGAGGUCAUAAAUAUGGGCCUCAUGUUGCACUUAGUAACUUCAGAAGGAGAGGAACAGUUAGAUCACUGCUUGCCCUCUCUGCCAUGUGAGGUCACAGAAAGUGACUAUCCGUGAGCCUGGAAGAGAACCCUCACCAGGAAUGGAAUCUGCAGGCACCUGGACCUUGGGCUCCCAGCCUCCAAAACCAUGAGAAAUAAAUGUCUGUUGUUUAAACCACCAAGUCUAUGGUCUUUUACUAUAGCAGCCUGAGAUUGUAAGACAUUUCCUCUCCACAAAGGAUGAGGGAAGAAGGAAAAAAGGAGUUGAAAGGUAAGGGACAAUUGAGAAAUGUCAAUUCUUGAGAAGAAUAUUGGAUGGGAAGAUGUGUGACCAUAUUGACGCUUUGCCCUUGAGUUGACACUGGAC